This 440-nucleotide ribosomal RNA is filed under the name uncultured bacterium. Its description in RNAcentral is "partial 16S ribosomal RNA". It matches the Rfam family "Bacterial small subunit ribosomal RNA", at positions 338 to 795 of the family's 1533-position model. The record is from RNAcentral.
CCUACGGGAGGCAGCAGUGGGGGAAAUUGCACAAUGGGGGAAACCCUGAUGCAGCGACGCCGCGUGGGUGAAGAAGCGCCUCGGCGCGUAAAGCCCUGUCAGCAGGGAAGAAAAUGACGGUACGUGAAGAAGAAGCCCCGGCUAACUACGUGCCAGCAGACGCGGUAAUACGUAGGGGGCAAGCGUUAUCCGGAUUUACUGGGUGUAAAGGGGGCGCAGACGGCGAUGCAGGCCAGGAGUGAAAGCCCGGGGCCCAACCCCGGGACUGCUCUUGGAACUGCGUGGCUAGAGUGCAGGAGGGGCAGGCGGAAUUCCUGGUGUAGCGGUGAAAUGCGUAGAGAUCAGGAGGAACACCGGUGGCGAAGGCGGCCUGCUGGACUGCAACUGACGUUGAGGCCCGAAAGCGUGGGGAGCAAACAGGAUUAGAUACCCCAGUAGUC